AUUGAACGCUGGCGGCAGGCCUAACACAUGCAAGUCGAACGAGUGGCGGACGGGUGAGUAAUGUCUGGGAAACUGCCUGAUGGAGGGGGAGAACUACUGGAAACGGUAGCUAAUACCGCAUACCAUCAGAUGUGCCCAGAUGGGAUUCGCUAGUAGGUGGGGUAAAGGCUCACCUAGGCGACGAUCCCUCGCUGGUCUGAGAGGAGGACCAGCCACACUGGAACUGAGACACGGUCCCGACUCCUACGGUAGGCAGCAGUGGGGAAUAUUGCACAAUGGGCGCAAGCCUGCUGCAGCCCUGCCGCGUGUAUUAAGAAGGCCUUCGGGUUGUAAAGUACUUUCAGCUGGGAGGCGUUACCCUCAGAAGAAGCACCGGCUAACUCCGUGCCAGCAGCCGCGGUAAUAC
This 406-nucleotide ribosomal RNA is filed under the name uncultured bacterium. Its description in RNAcentral is "partial 16S ribosomal RNA". It matches the Rfam family "Bacterial small subunit ribosomal RNA", at positions 30 to 526 of the family's 1533-position model. The record is from RNAcentral.